AAAAAUUCCAGCAAGAGAGUUGAGCCUUUUAGAGAGUGAAAAGAGUUUUCUAAAAUGCCAAAAAAGAAAAAAAGUGAGAGAGAGAAAGGAAAAUGAAAGAAAGAAGAAAAAGCAAAAGGAAAAAGAAAUCCCUCCUGUUCUCAUAUCAAAAGCAAAGACAGGGAGUUUUGUCUGUAAACCCCAAGUAGAGAAAACAACUAGAAGAGAGAGUGGAAAAGGCUCCUGGUCAGAGAGGCAGACGCCGAAGGAGACCAAGGCAGAGAAAGAAGGUGUCCUGGCUUAGCCCUAACUAAAACCGGAACGUGGCGAUGGCAAGUAUAGUUGGGUGUGGUGUUUGAAGGCUGUGAAAAAAUACAUAAAAGAGAAACUGUUCAGAAUUCCAGCACAGCGGGACUUGUUUUUCUCUUCCCUGGGCACUGCCUGGGAAGAUUAAAGGCCACCUCAGAAAAGUGCUUGGUCCAAGAUGGGACACUCCAGGCCAGCACCACUCAAAGUGCAGUCCUGAGAAGGUGCUGGCCUGCAAUUCUUUGUUGUGGCCUCCAGUCCAUCCUGAGAAAUACUGGUCUGCAAGGGAUGGUGCGGAGAACCCAUUACAGUUUGAGAAGCAUUGUUCUGUAGGCUGUAUUACAAGUGGCUGAGUGAGGGCUCAAAUAGAGGGAUGGAAGUCAGACUCUCCACUUCUCCAACUCUCCCCGCACUCUUGAGUCUCAUGUACCACGGAAGGAAUCCAGAAAGCACUCUGGAAUUUUGCCUCUAUGUUGCUGCCAUGACUAUAAUGGAUCCAUCCAGCUGGGUCCCUGAGAGCAGUCUGUAAGCCGCUAACGACCAGUGGCUGAACCUGAGGGAGCUACAACAAUGGCGGUGGAGGAGUGGAGAACAUUACCAACUCCAGUCCAGUCCUGUUUCUUAAACCGUCUAUUUUAAUCCUGUCUAUCCCUGCCCUUCCUGAUGUUAUGUUUCCAAGUAAUCCCAGUCUUUCACGCUCUGAAAAGAGAUGCGUCUCUGUGACCCUGCGUAGCAUUAUGGAAAGAGAGGGAGAGCUGAGUCUGUUUUGUCAUUUCUGAUGGUGUGAAGAUGGGCAGGUGAGUGUUCUUUAAUGCCUCUGUGCGUUACUUUCCUCAUCUUGAGAAUGGGAUGAUAAAAUCUAUCUUUUAGGUGUUCGUUGUGAGGGUUAAAUGUGGCAGAUAUAUAGUAGGUACUCAAUCAUUAAUAGGAAUAAUUGUAUAUUCUCUACCCCUUUCUCAAAUACCUGGUGAAAACUGUAUUCAGGGGUGAGGAUUCUUUUGCUCCAGCUCAGACCUCUUCAGUUCCACUAUGUUUAUCUUAGUCACCUAGGCAAAUGGGUAGCAGCUGUUUUUGCAUUAAUGGUAAAGACAGAAGAUUCUCUCCCCUACAGGACUCAGAUGAGUUCCAUUCUGAGACACCCCUUUGAUCCAAUCUCAUGGACAUUUUGUGUAUUUAUGCCACUGUCCUCAAAGCAAGCCUCUCCAAAGCUGGUGCUUUGCCCCUGCAUACUCUUCCUUCUCGUUGACUUCCCUCCUAAUCUUUACAAUAUAUUCUAUGAAAGUUUUAUUUUAUUGUAUGUAACUCUCUCUUAGUCCCCAUGCUUUGAUUGAACUUUGCUUCUGCCACAAAGACACCAAUUCUCUUCUUGUUAUAAAUUCCAGACUUGGUUACCA
Long non-coding RNA from Herpailurus yagouaroundi (jaguarundi), 1679 nucleotides. RefSeq lists it as uncharacterized. The record is from RefSeq and is a predicted model, not a curated record. Lineage: Eukaryota; Metazoa; Chordata; Mammalia; Carnivora; Felidae. The transcript is spliced from 4 exons.